CCUACGGGAGGCAGCAGUGAGGAAUAUUGGUCAAUGGGCUUACGCCUGAACCAGCCAAGCCGCGUGAGGGAAGACUGCCCUAGGGGUUGUAAACUUCUUUUGUCAGGGAGCAACGCCGGCUACGUGUAGCCGGACUGAGAGUACCUGACGAAAAAGCAUCGGCUAACUCCGUGCCAGCAGCCGCGGUAAUACGGAGGAUGCGAGCGUUAUCCGGAUUUAAUGGGUGUAAAGGGUGCGUAGGCGGAAUGCCAAGUCAGCGGUAAAAUCGCGGGGCUCAACCUCGGUCCGCCGUUGAAACUGGCGUUCUUGAGUGGGCGAGAGGUAUGCGGAAUGCGUGGUGUAGCGGUGAAAUGCGUAGAUAUCACGCAGAACUCCGAUUGCGAAGGCAGCAUACCGGCGCCCAACUGACGCUGAAGCACGAAAGCGUGGGUAUCGAACAGGAUUAGAUACCCCAGUAGUC
This 460-nucleotide ribosomal RNA is filed under the name uncultured bacterium. RNAcentral describes it as "partial 16S ribosomal RNA". It matches the Rfam family "Bacterial small subunit ribosomal RNA", at positions 338 to 795 of the family's 1533-position model. The record is from RNAcentral.